This 590-nucleotide ribosomal RNA is filed under the name Debaryomyces hansenii. RNAcentral's name for it is "LSU rRNA". It matches the Rfam family "Eukaryotic large subunit ribosomal RNA", at positions 65 to 669 of the family's 3401-position model. Lineage: Eukaryota; Fungi; Ascomycota; Pichiomycetes; Serinales; Debaryomycetaceae. The record is from RNAcentral.
CGCACAGGGCCAUUGCGUUACAACGGCGAGUGAAGCGGCAAAAGCUCAAAUUUGAAAUCUGGCACCUUCGGUGUCCGAGUUGUAAUUUGAAGAAGGUAACUUUGGAGUUGGCUCUUGUCUAUGUUCCUUGGAACAGGACGUCACAGAGGGUGAGAAUCCCGUGCGAUGAGAUGCCCAAUUCUAUGUAAAGUGCUUUCGAAGAGUCGAGUUGUUUGGGAAUGCAGCUCUAAGUGGGUGGUAAAUUCCAUCUAAAGCUAAAUAUUGGCGAGAGACCGAUAGCGAACAAGUACAGUGAUGGAAAGAUGAAAAGAACUUUGAAAAGAGAGUGAAAAAGUACGUGAAAUUGUUGAAAGGGAAGGGCUUGAGAUCAGACUUGGUAUUUUGCGAUCCUUUCCUUCUUGGUUGGGUUCCUCGCAGCUUACUGGGCCAGCAUCGGUUUGGAUGGUAGGAUAAUGACUAAGGAAUGUGGCUCUACUUCGGUGGAGUGUUAUAGCCUUGGUUGAUACUGCCUGUCUAGACCGAGGACUGCGUCUUUUGACUAGGAUGUUGGCAUAAUGAUCUUAAGCCACCCGUCUUGAAACACGGACCAA